Molecule: small RNA, 302 nt
Organism: Sphaerobolus stellatus SS14
Lineage: Eukaryota; Fungi; Basidiomycota; Agaricomycetes; Geastrales; Sphaerobolaceae
Rfam family: 5' ureB small RNA
Source: Rfam
CCUCGGUAAUCUGUUGCGGACAAAUAUAAUGCACAUGUGCAUCCACCGCUCCAGCAGUCACAAUCAAGCCUUCCCCUGCAACGACCUCCGUCUUUCCACCAAUAAUCAUUCCAUCAGUCACGCCCUCCAUGCUAUCUGGAUUUCCAGCCUUGCCAAGGCCAGUUAUUUUGCCUUCUUUGACGCCGAUAUCGGCUUUGUAGAUACCUGAGUGAUCGAUAAUGAGUGCAGAAGUGAUGACGAGAUCCAAGGCAUCCAAGAGGGAGCCAUUAUUAGGAGAGGAUGAUUGACCCAUUCCGUCGCGG